AUCUUGGGACUGCCGCCACACCCGCUCCCCACAGGUCCGUGGACUGGGAUCCAAAGGACAAUUCAGAGCUUCAUGGAUGAUGAAGUGUUUGUUAACUGCCAAAAUUAUGAAGUCCAGAAACUUUGGGAAGCUUUUCUGGACUGAGAAUGUAUGUGAUAUUACUUCUCCUUAAUUUUAAUAUUGAUUGGAAAAAUAAGAACAGCACAUCAACAAGAGCUUCUAUUUCUGCACACUGAUUUCCAUUGGCAAAGAAAUUAAUGUUUUUUCUUCAUCUUCAUACAAUAACUCUGGGAAGUUAGUUUAUUCCUUCAUUUACCAUCUGUCUCCAGCGGCCUUGUCUGAGCCUGACCACGAGUAAGCAUGCCAGAGAAGUUGACUGAAUGCAUUCUGAAUUGGAGUUCUGUUAGAAAGGUUCCUGAGGCUCUAUGAAGACCCUGUGGGGGAAGAGUGCAGAAGCCACCGUCCCAUACCUGCCAUCUAAUGUGAUGCUGUUAAUGAAGAGGAAUAGACAGAGGAGGAGAAACAUCUAUGCUCACGUUUAUAUUGAACAUAAGAAUCUCAGAAUCUCUGCACUAGAUUUGAAUAGCUCAUCUGACCCACCAAGUUGUCAUAAGUUUGCUCCUGACAGUGACUAAAGUCAUUCUGCUUUGUAAUACUCUAGAGCUGUUAAUGACCCAAAGUCAUUGUUUUGGACUAUGUAUUCCUACCCUUUAAUGGUUUUGUUUAUUCUUGUUGGUUUUAAUUAAAUAAAGAAAA
This 756-nucleotide small RNA is filed under the name Rattus norvegicus (Norway rat). RNAcentral's name for it is "uncharacterized LOC102548754". Lineage: Eukaryota; Metazoa; Chordata; Mammalia; Rodentia; Muridae. The record is from RNAcentral.